RNAcentral lists this ribosomal RNA (464 nucleotides) under Rhodococcus opacus. RNAcentral describes it as "bacterial SSU rRNA". It matches the Rfam family "Bacterial small subunit ribosomal RNA", at positions 1 to 485 of the family's 1533-position model. Lineage: Bacteria; Bacillati; Actinomycetota; Actinomycetes; Mycobacteriales; Nocardiaceae. The record is from RNAcentral.
UUUUGAGAUUUGAUCCUGGCUCAGGACGAACGCUGGCGGCGUGCUUAACACAUGCAAGUCGAGCGGUAAGGCCCUUCGGGGUACACGAGCGGCGAACGGGUGAGUAACACGUGGGUGAUCUGCCCUGCACUUCGGGAUAAGCCUGGGAAACUGGGUCUAAUACCGGAUAUGACCUUCGGCUGCAUGGCUGAGGGUGGAAAGGUUUACUGGUGCAGGAUGGGCCCGCGGCCUAUCAGCUUGUUGGUGGGGUAAUGGCCUACCAAGGCGACGACGGGUAGCCGACCUGAGAGGGUGACCGGCCACACUGGGACUGAGACACGGCCCAGACUCCUACGGGAGGCAGCAGUGGGGAAUAUUGCACAAUGGGCGAAAGCCUGAUGCAGCGACGCCGCGUGAGGGAUGACGGCCUUCGGGUUGUAAACCUCUUUCAGCAGGGACGAAGCGAAAGUGACGGUACCUGCAGA